This 68-nucleotide transfer RNA is filed under the name Marmota monax (woodchuck). RNAcentral describes it as "tRNA.Ala". The stretch from base 5 to 65 matches the Rfam family "tRNA", at positions 6 to 65 of the family's 71-position model. From Rfam's summary of the family: Transfer RNA (tRNA) molecules are approximately 80 nucleotides in length. Their secondary structure includes four short double-helical elements and three loops (D, anti-codon, and T loops). The record is from RNAcentral. Lineage: Eukaryota; Metazoa; Chordata; Mammalia; Rodentia; Sciuridae.
GGAUUGUGGCUCAAUGGUAGAGCGCUCACCUGGCAUGUGCUAGGCCCUGAGUUCGAUCCUCUGCACCA